AGGACGAACGCUGGCGGCGUGCUUAACACAUGCAAGUCGAACGCUGAAGCCUAGCUUGCUGGGUGGAUGAGUGGCGAACGGGUGAGUAACACGUGAGUAACCUGCCCUCUUCUUUGGGAUAACGCCCGGAAAUGGGUGCUAAUACUGGAUAUUCACUGGUCUUCGCAUGGGGGUUGGUGGAAAGGGUUUUUCUGGUGGGGGAUGGGCUCGCGGCCUAUCAGCUUGUUGGUGGGGUGAUGGCCUACCAAGGCUUUGACGGGUAGCCGGCCUGAGAGGGUGACCGGUCACAUUGGGACUGAGAUACGGCCCAGACUCCUACGGGAGGCAGCAGUGGGGAAUAUUGCACAAUGGGCGCAAGCCUGAUGCAGCGACGCCGCGUGAGGGAUGGAGGCCUUCGGGUUGUGAACCUCUUUCGCUCAUGGUCAAGCCGCAACUGUGGGUUGUGGUGAGGGUAGUGGGUAAAGAAGCGCCGGCUAACUACGUGCCAGCAGCC
RNAcentral lists this ribosomal RNA (493 nucleotides) under Schaalia meyeri. Its description in RNAcentral is "bacterial SSU rRNA". It matches the Rfam family "Bacterial small subunit ribosomal RNA", at positions 26 to 516 of the family's 1533-position model. Lineage: Bacteria; Bacillati; Actinomycetota; Actinomycetes; Actinomycetales; Actinomycetaceae. The record is from RNAcentral.